Malus domestica (apple) is the source of this 525-nucleotide long non-coding RNA. RefSeq lists it as uncharacterized. The record is from RefSeq and is a predicted model, not a curated record. Lineage: Eukaryota; Viridiplantae; Streptophyta; Magnoliopsida; Rosales; Rosaceae.
AUCCACGAGGAUAUACUUAUUUUCUUGUCCUGGUUCUCUUUUCUUCUCCAGCUCCUCCAGAAGGAUCUUUCCUCCAUUCCGCAUUUUUUUGUUUUCACCCGAUGACACGACGUUGAAUCCCUCGUCAAUUUCUCGACGAUGUCACCACCGACCACCAUCACCAACUCACCACAACUCCCCAAGCACCAUCUAACUCGUUGUGUAGCAGGAUUUGUGGAAGAAUUCUUCGAUUCCAGCAAGGAGAUGAGGAUCGACGAUUUUCGAGUGCUUUUGGCCGUUUUUCGGCAUAUCCAACCACAAAUUCAACAUAAGGAAGGUGGAUUUAUGUUAGCAAAUUAAUUGUUUUGUUAGAAGAUAUCAAGCAAAUACUGACACUCCCUGAUCCGGAAAAUCCACCUAGACUUCAAAUCGAGCUGUGCUGGUCGACACCAGGAGGGUGACGAAGCCAUAAGUGUAGUGAUGUGGAAAAUGUGAAUAAAUUUAAACCUAAAAGUACCUAAAUACAAGAGUGCUUGUGAGCGGGAA